Molecule: ribosomal RNA, 439 nt
Filed under: uncultured bacterium
Lineage: Bacteria
Description: partial 16S ribosomal RNA
Rfam family: Bacterial small subunit ribosomal RNA
Source: RNAcentral
CCUCCGGGAGGCAGCAGUGGGGAAUAUUGCACCAUGGGCGAAAGCCUGCUGCAGCAACGCCGCGUGCGCGAUGAAGGCCUUCGGGUCGUAAAGCUCUGUCCUCAAGGAAGAUAAUUACGGUACUUGAGGCGUAAGCCCCGGCUAACUACGUGCCAGCAGCCGCGGUAAUACGUAGGGGGCUAGCGUUAUCCGGCAUUACUGGGCGUAAAGGGUGCGUAGGUGGUUUCGUAAGUCAGAGGUGAAAGGCUACGGCUCAACCGUAGUAAGCCUUUGAAACUGGGAAACUUGAGUGCAGGAGAGGAGAGUGGAAGUCCUAGGGGAGCGGUGAAAUGCGUAGAUAUUAGGAGGAACACCAGUUGCGAAGGCGGAUCUCUGGACUGUAACGGACACUGAGGCACGAAAGCGUGGGGAGCAAACAGGAGUAGAGACCCUAGUAGUC